Molecule: small RNA, 163 nt
Filed under: Gracilibacter sp.
Lineage: Bacteria; Bacillati; Bacillota; Clostridia; Eubacteriales; Gracilibacteraceae
Description: Magnesium sequence
Rfam family: M-box riboswitch aptamer (ykoK leader)
About the family: M-box riboswitch, also know as ykoK leader is described as a metaloregulatory RNA that sense divalent metals and function as a genetic control element of genes related to divalent metal transport in bacteria.
Source: RNAcentral
UUAUAGCUUCGUUAGGUGAGGCUCCUAUAUGGAGAUAUGCUGCUGCCCAGAAACAUCGAGAGAUGCCAACGGGUUAACAAGAAAGAUCGGCUUAAGGUCUUAUUAAUGUAGCUGGUUCUGUCCUAUGCCAUAUAGUGCUUAAACUCAACGAGUGGAGGGAAGA